UUUAUGGAGAGUUUGAUCCUGGCUCAGAACUAACGCUGGCGGCGUGCCUAACACAUGCAAGUCGAGCGGACACCACUUUGUAGCAAUACAGAUGAAGUGUUAGCGGCAGACGGGUGAGUAACACGUAGGCAAUCUACCUUUCCGUCCGGGAUAACUAGCCGAAAGGUUAGCUAAUACCAGAUGCGCUCAUCGAACGGCAUCGUUUGAUGAUGAAAGCAGCAAUGCGC
Molecule: ribosomal RNA, 227 nt
Rfam family: Bacterial small subunit ribosomal RNA